This 142-nucleotide ribosomal RNA is filed under the name uncultured bacterium. RNAcentral describes it as "partial 16S ribosomal RNA". It matches the Rfam family "Bacterial small subunit ribosomal RNA", at positions 372 to 525 of the family's 1533-position model. The record is from RNAcentral.
UGGGCGAAAGCUCUGAUGCAGCGACGCCGCGUGAGGGAUGACGGCCUUCGGGUUGUAAACCUCUUUCAGUAGGGAAGAAGCGAAAGUGACGGUACCUGCAGAAGAAGCGCCGGCUAACUACGUGCCAGCAGCCGCGGUAAUA